Molecule: transfer RNA, 72 nt
Filed under: Nitrososphaerota archaeon
Lineage: Archaea; Thermoproteati; Nitrososphaerota
Also listed under: 1 other name
Description: Thaumarchaeota archaeon tRNA-Lys
Rfam family: tRNA
About the family: Transfer RNA (tRNA) molecules are approximately 80 nucleotides in length. Their secondary structure includes four short double-helical elements and three loops (D, anti-codon, and T loops). Further hydrogen bonds mediate the characteristic L-shaped molecular structure. tRNAs have two regions of fundamental functional importance: the anti-codon, which is responsible for specific mRNA codon recognition, and the 3' end, to which the tRNAs corresponding amino acid is attached (by aminoacyl-tRNA synthetases). tRNAs cope with the degeneracy of the genetic code in two manners: having more than one tRNA (with a specific anti-codon) for a particular amino acid; and 'wobble' base-pairing, i.e. permitting non-standard base-pairing at the 3rd anti-codon position.
Source: RNAcentral
GGAUCGGUAGCUCAACGGUAGAGCAGGACCCUCUUAAGGUCAAGGUUGUGGGUUCGAUUCCCACCCGGUCCA